Molecule: ribosomal RNA, 448 nt
Filed under: Staphylococcus gallinarum
Lineage: Bacteria; Bacillati; Bacillota; Bacilli; Caryophanales; Staphylococcaceae
Description: bacterial SSU rRNA
Rfam family: Bacterial small subunit ribosomal RNA
Source: RNAcentral
GCUGGCGGCGUGCCUAAUACAUGCAAGUCGAGCGAACAGAUAAGGAGCUUGCUCCUUUGACGUUAGCGGCGGACGGGUGAGUAACACGUGGGUAACCUACCUAUAAGACUGGAAUAACUCCGGGAAACCGGGGCUAAUGCCGGAUAACAUAUAGAACCGCAUGGUUCUAUAGUGAAAGAUGGUUUUGCUAUCACUUAUAGAUGGACCCGCGCCGUAUUAGCUAGUUGGUAAGNNNAUGGCUUACCAAGGCGACGAUACGUAGCCGACCUGAGAGGGUGAUCGGCCACACUGGAACUGAGACACGGUCCAGACUCCUACGGGAGGCAGCAGUAGGGAAUCUUCCGCAAUGGGCGAAAGCCUGACGGAGCAACGCCGCGUGAGUGAUGAAGGGUUUCGGCUCGUAAAACUCUGUUAUUAGGGAAGAACAUAUGUGUAAGUAACUGUGCAC